Molecule: ribosomal RNA, 278 nt
Filed under: uncultured bacterium
Lineage: Bacteria
Description: partial 16S ribosomal RNA
Rfam family: Bacterial small subunit ribosomal RNA
Source: RNAcentral
AACGAACGCCGGCGGCAUGCCUAACACAUGCAAGUCGAACGAGACCUUCGGGUCUAGUGGCGCACGGGUGCGUAACGCGUGGGAAUCUACCCUUGGGUUCGGAAUAACUUCCCGAAAGGGAUGCUAAUACCGGAUGAUGUCGUAAGACCAAAGAUUUAUCGCCCAAGGAUGAGCCCGCGUAGGAUUAGCUAGUUGGUGAGGUAAAGGCUCACCAAGGCGACGAUCCUUAGCUGGUCUGAGAGGAUGAUCAGCCACACUGGGACGUGAGACACGGCCCA